AUACAUAUAUAUAUAUAUAUAUAUGUGUGUGUGUGUGUGUGUAAGAAUGAAUGUUAACGGGAUUUUUUUUCUAAGGAAUGCGCUGGAAAAUUUUGAUUUAUAUUUUGCCCGGUAUAUAUUAAUAUCCGUGCUACUACAGAUUCAAAUUGAAAACGGCCACGGAAUGAUUACUGUACUAGGAAAAUUCCGUAAAUUUCUCCGGGUUAAAAAUCCGAUAUGAAAAUUUCUGACGUCUAUGUCGUUUCUCCAUUAGCGUUACACAUAUGUAUUAAAAAAAAACUACUAGCCUUGCAGAAAGUAACCCAUUUAUUGUUACCCGUGGUCGGUAACCACACGAAAUUAUUCCGUCCACGUGCAAAUUUUAAUACUUCCCUAGUAAUAAUUAUAGUUAGCACUCGACCGUUCUCUAUAGUGUUUAACCAGGUAUCGGUCUAUCGAUCGGGACUAAAAUUCGUGUAGUAAGUAGUUUGGCAGGUUUGCGUGUGUGGGAUAGUUUUUUUUUUUAUCGUCUUUACUUUAUCAUUAAUCGAUUCCGUUCAGUUUUUGCGGAUUUCGUGUAUUUACGGACGGUAAAUUCCGUCUGCGGACGUUUUAAGUUAUUUUUUUUCUCUGCGUUUUUUUAAUCCGAAACCAGAUUUUAAUGUCCUUCGAUUCGGUGUUAAGUUUGGAGUUUAAAAAUAAUAUUAUAGUUUAAUCGAUUUUUCUUACUUUCUUAAUAGACGGAGAAUACUUAUCUUGGCACAAUUUUUUUUUUUUUAUUCUGGUUAUCGAACUACUUGGUCGUUUUUCUGAUAGACAUUUUUAAGUUGGGGAAGAAUUUUUGUGAUAGUCGAUGCGCUAGCGAGUGUUCAUUAGCGUCGUUUGUUUUCUCCCAAGUUAAUCGUCUAGGUCCAUAUCCAUAUGUCGGUAAUUAGUCGUUUCCGAAGGGAAUACCGCGAGCCACUUCUAUUAGUCGACUGUUUAUUGACUGUUCUAUCGUUAAUAAGUAGUGGUUGUUUCUCAACUCUCGAUUCUCGUGUUUCAACUGUUUUUAGUUAGCCAGUGAUAUAUAUUUACUGCUAGUUACUGUGCCCCUCAUUUGAGACAGUAUGGUUGCUGUUGGCCAGUUUGGAAGAAGGAAACUACAGUUUAUUCCGCUACAAAAUUCGCCGCGUUUCCGCGCGGAGUAACUUUUCCGGGUUGGCAUCCGUCGGUCCGGAAAAUCUCGGUGGCGCUGUAUCCAUCCAUUGAUUACCACUCCAUCCCACCUCCCAGCAGAUAACCUUCGACUCAUCCGCCCUCCUAUGUUUAUUAUAGGCCGUUACGUAAAAGCGUCUGCAACGAAUUUCCACAUUUUG
RNAcentral lists this long non-coding RNA (1337 nucleotides) under Androctonus crassicauda. The record is from RNAcentral. Lineage: Eukaryota; Metazoa; Arthropoda; Arachnida; Scorpiones; Buthidae.